CGCGGUCGCCCCAGCCGCCCGGCAGCCGCCGACCCCCGGCCGGGCCCUGGACUCGCCGCGGUAGUGCCUUCCCAAACAGAGCUGCUGGAAUUACAAUCUUUUGUUGAGCCUCAUGUAACGGAAAAGUCUCCGAUUACUAUCACUUGAAAAGGCUAGCGCGCCCACGGGACGGCCUGGAGAGUGAAGAGCCCCAAGGGUCCCGGGCCCGCGCGGCUCAUUCACUCUCUAGCGUCUGCUGAGGUAACGCGGCCCGCACCUGGGCGCGCGCGACUGCCCCAGUGCGCUGGCGCCAACCACGCGGCGGCGGCCCGGCGAGCCACCGGGAAGAAGUCAGACAAAGUCACUCUCAGGGCGCUGUGCAGCGCCACAGCCAGGGGAGGUGUAAGUUCGGGCUCAGUGAAGAAUCUCGGCUGACUUACGCUGCCAUCAGGGGAUAUGAAGGCGGUGGUUUCCUGGAAUAACACGGGCCUAUGAUAGGAAUUCGACGCAAGGAAGAUUUAUGGGAGCACCGAUUUGCAAGGCAUUGUGGGAAAAAGGUACACAGGCAGACAACAAAUUACACUUUUGGCAUUUCCAGUUUGGAGCCCUACAGCAAUACUCACUGAAGAAGGUUGCACAUAAUAUGAUGGCAGUAGAGCUGGGACGAACGUAGCCACACUCAAUCCUGUGAAGCCAACACUGAAUGAACCAGGCAGAGUGAACACAUGCAAGUAUUAGAAAGGUUUGGACACUGGGGAAGGGUUUAAUAACCCCACGGGGAUAAGAAGUAAGAAAUGGGAAUCCAUUUGGUGUGAUGGGACCAGGGAAGAAUAAGACAGAUCCCUGAUGGCCCAUCUGACCACCUCCAGUUCAGAAGUGGGGAGGAGGUAAAGGAAGGCCAGAGGUAUUCAUUCUUUAUUUCUUCAGUGUUUACUGUUCUGUAUUUACAGUAUUUAAUGUGUGCAAGGCACACUGCCAGGUGUUUUAGAAGAUUCAGAAGUGACCAGGAGUGUUGCUAGCCAAAGGAAAUGGGACAAAUGUGCAAACAGUAAAGUACCAAAAGAAUAUAGUAAGGGCCAGGGGAGGACAGCUCUAAGAAUUCAGAGGACAAGGAGGACACAUCUGCCUUUUGGAGAAAGCUGUCUCAACAAAGAGGAACAGAGCACUAAAGCUAAAUAACCCCCAUGAAGGACCAACCCUCUUCCGGAAAAAAGGCUUAAAUUACACAUCAGUUAAAACGACGACAACAUUCUCCUCCACUUGUGCUCUACAGUGAGGGGCAGAUGAAUGGCCUUUGGCUGUUGCAGCAAAAUAGAGGUAAUCUACGUAUAAACUACUACAAUUUUAACAUUCCAUUCCCUAUCUUGCUUGGUCACUAUAGUCACCUAAUACUCUGUAUGUCCUUGUCACAAUACAGUUCUCCAGGAAAACUGUGGCCAACGUUUGGAAAAAUUAACCAUGAAAUUCUCAAACUUCAACUGCUAACAUGUACUCCAGGCUAAUGAUGACAGAGAAUAACACAGGCAAACUGCAGGCCAACCUUGGGGAGAUAGUUUCUUUAGAGAUGCCCUCUACUGAGUGCCCCUGAUAUCCAAGGAACAUGGAAGGCAGUCCCCAAAUGAAGAGCAAUUGUAUUCCUUUAAUUCAGUCAUAAAUCAACUCUCAAUUCUAUGAGAUUUUUCACAGAAGAACGGAGCGCCUCAAAAGUGGAUCAAGGCAGAAAUGGAUGUGGAAAUUAUCAUCCUGUACCUUUGAGGUAAAGAGGCUUCUACAGCUCUGGCAUGAGCUACCACAGGUCAUAACCAUUAGGAAAGAAACUGGAAUGUUACCAUGCCAGGCUUUGUGAAUAAACUAAAGUUUUGCUGGUGGUGGCACAGGAAAAAAAUGAAGAAACCAAGAGGACUUGAACCAAGUGGGUAUGACUCCAAAGCCCAUGCUUUAAAUGAACAAAUUGGCCUACCCUCUAAGGCAAGAACCCUUUAAUAGUGGUCUAUGUCAGAAAAAUAUCAAAAAGACUCAAGGCUCUUAAAUAAAUAAGGAAAUGAAUGACCUGCAUCAAAGUCUAAUUACGCCUAGGCCAGUUACCCACCCAGCCAGGUCUCCUUGUACAUACACAAUGGGGGUGAUAUUGCCCCCACAAGGAAUGAAAAUUCAUUUUGGGGAUGAGGCAAAAAAUUGUAUUCUUUUUCAUAUUAGCAUAGAUAUAUAAUGUAUCUAUGGCAUGAAAAUUUCAUGGGUGGGCAAUUAGGAGGAAAAAAAGGGUCAC
This 2245-nucleotide long non-coding RNA is filed under the name Homo sapiens (human). RNAcentral's name for it is "HSALNT0302530". The record is from RNAcentral. Lineage: Eukaryota; Metazoa; Chordata; Mammalia; Primates; Hominidae.